This is a long non-coding RNA of Herpailurus yagouaroundi (jaguarundi), 972 nucleotides long. RefSeq lists it as uncharacterized. The record is from RefSeq and is a predicted model, not a curated record. NCBI's taxonomy places the organism in Eukaryota, Metazoa, Chordata, Mammalia, Carnivora, Felidae. The transcript has 2 exons.
AUUCAAACCUGUUUUCUCUGAAAUCUUUAUUAAAGUGCCUAAAAAUAUGAAAUGAGUGUAUAGGCUGUAUGUUUGCUUUUUGCUCAUGUUGCCAAAAGGCCUGGUUGAUGUAGAUAAAUUCUUUAGUAGUUAAGAAAAGGAUGACUCCUUUCAUUUCAAGCAUAUAUAGAAAGUACCCCCUAUUUAUUUAUUUACUUAUUUACUUAUUUUAAAAUUUGUUUAUUUAUUAUGAUAGAGACAGUGAGUAGGGAAGGGGCAGAGAGAGAGGGAGAGAGAGAAUCCCAAGCAGGCUGUGCUCUUCUCAGCACAAAUCCCAAUGCAGGGUUCCAUCCCAUGAACCAUGGGACCAUGACCCGAGCUGAAAUCAACAGUUGGAUGCUUAACUGACUGAGCCACCCAGGUGCCCCUUUACUUACUUAUUUAAAAUUUAUUUCCUACAGUUUUCUUGAGGUAUAAUUGACAUGUAAAAAAUUUCCCUAUUUUUUAGUCGAUAGUAGGGUCACUCUCCAUAUACGUAACGUGUCGCGUGUUUGUGAGGCACCGUACUUUAUCCAAAGUGGUUCAGAUCGAGGACACUCAAACUCAGAAUAGUUACAGUCACACAAUUUGCUAAGGGAAAGUUGGAAUUUGAAUCUGGUUAAGUCUGAGCUCAGAACCCUUGUUUAUUUCACUGUUGUUUAAGUUGAUCAUUGCCUAUAGAGCAUGUAGUGUGGUGAGAAAAAAAAACAACAAAUUCCUUCUACCUGUCUAGGUUUUUGACUAAUUAAAUUGAUAUAAGACAGAUUAACAGAAGAAAAACAAACAAAAGCUUAAUGAUAUGUAUGCUUCCUGUGUAUACAUGGGAGAGACCCAGGAACUCUGAGUAACUCCCUAAAAUGGCCAAAGCCAUCACCUUAAAUAUCAUGUUCAGCUAAAGACAAAAGAUGUUAGGAGUAGGGAGUCAAUUAUGGGAAGUUACCAAGAAAAGCAUAA